AGUGAACGCUGGCGGUAGGCCUAACACAUGCAAGUCGAACGGCAGCACAGUAAGAGCUUGCUCUUACGGGUGGCGAGUGGCGGACGGGUGAGGAAUACAUCGGAAUCUACUUUUUCGUGGGGGAUAACGUAGGGAAACUUACGCUAAUACCGCAUACGACCUACGGGUGAAAGCAGGGGAUCUUCGGACCUUGCGCGAUUGAAUGAGCCGAUGUCGGAUUAGCUAGUUGGCGGGGUAAAGGCCCACCAAGGCGACGAUCCGUAGCUGGUCUGAGAGGAUGAUCAGACACACUGGAACUGAGACACGGUCCAGACUCCUACGGGAGGCAGCAGUGGGGAAUAUUGGACAAUGGGCGGAAGCCUGAUCCAGCCAUACCGCGUGGGUGAAGAAGGCCUUCGGGUUGUAAAGCCCUUUUGUUGGGAAAGAAAAGCAGCAGGUUAAUACCCCGCUGUUCUGACGGUACCCAAAGAAUAAGCACCGGCUAAGUUCGUG
RNAcentral lists this ribosomal RNA (492 nucleotides) under uncultured bacterium. Its description in RNAcentral is "partial 16S ribosomal RNA". It matches the Rfam family "Bacterial small subunit ribosomal RNA", at positions 29 to 507 of the family's 1533-position model. The record is from RNAcentral.